This 119-nucleotide ribosomal RNA is filed under the name Pteropus alecto (black flying fox). The record is from RNAcentral. RNAcentral also lists the same sequence under 1 other name. Lineage: Eukaryota; Metazoa; Chordata; Mammalia; Chiroptera; Pteropodidae.
GUCUACGGCCAUGCUACCCUGAACAAGCCUGAUCCCAUCUAAUCUCGGAAGCUAAGCAGGUUCGGGCCUGGCUAGUACUUGGGUGGAAGACCACCUAGGAAGACCAGGUGCUGGAGGCA